RNAcentral lists this ribosomal RNA (731 nucleotides) under Bacillus sp. (in: firmicutes). RNAcentral describes it as "bacterial SSU rRNA". It matches the Rfam family "Bacterial small subunit ribosomal RNA", at positions 699 to 1416 of the family's 1533-position model. Lineage: Bacteria; Bacillati; Bacillota; Bacilli; Caryophanales; Bacillaceae. The record is from RNAcentral.
GGAGGGAACACCCACUGGCGAAAGGGGGACUCUUUGUGUCUGUUAACUGUACGCUGAGGCGCGAAAAGCGUGUGGAGCAAAACAGGAUUUAGAUAUCCCUGGUAGUCCACGCCGUAAAACGAUGAGUGUUAAGUGUUAGAGGGUGUCCGCCCUUUAGUGUUGCAGCAAACGCACUAAGCACUCCGCCUGGGGAGUGCGACCGCAAGGGUUGAAACUCAAAGGAAUUGACGGGGGCCCGCACAAGCGGUGGAGCAUGUGGUUUAAUUUGAAGCAACGCGAAGAACCUUACCAGGUCUUGACAUCCUCUGACAAUCCUAGAGAUAGGACUUUCCCCUUUGGGGGACAGAGUGACAGGUGGUGCAUGGUUGUCGUCAGCUCGUGUCGUGAGAUGUUGGGUUAAGUCCCGCAACGAGCGCAACCCUUGAUCUUAGUUGCCAGCAUUCAGUUGGGCACUCUAAGGUGACUGCCGGUGACAAACCGGAGGAAGGUGGGGAUGACGUCAAAUCAUCAUGCCCCUUAUGACCUGGGCUACACACGUGCUACAAUGGAUGGUACAAAGGGCUGCAAGACCGCGAGGUUUAGCCAAUCCCAUAAAUCCAUUCUCAGUUCGGAUUGUAGGCUGCAACUCGCCUACAUGAAGCCGGAAUCGCUAGUAAUCGCGGAUCAGCAUGCCGCGGUGAAUACGUUCCCGGGCCUUGUACACACCGCCCUUUAAAGGACAAGAGUACUGU